ACCUGGCUGGCUCAGUUGAUGGAGCAUGAAGCUCUUGAUCUCAAGGUCAUGAGUUCAAGCCCUAUGUUGGGUA
Molecule: transfer RNA, 73 nt
Filed under: Canis lupus familiaris (dog)
Lineage: Eukaryota; Metazoa; Chordata; Mammalia; Carnivora; Canidae
Also listed under: 1 other name
Rfam family: tRNA
About the family: Transfer RNA (tRNA) molecules are approximately 80 nucleotides in length. Their secondary structure includes four short double-helical elements and three loops (D, anti-codon, and T loops). Further hydrogen bonds mediate the characteristic L-shaped molecular structure. tRNAs have two regions of fundamental functional importance: the anti-codon, which is responsible for specific mRNA codon recognition, and the 3' end, to which the tRNAs corresponding amino acid is attached (by aminoacyl-tRNA synthetases). tRNAs cope with the degeneracy of the genetic code in two manners: having more than one tRNA (with a specific anti-codon) for a particular amino acid; and 'wobble' base-pairing, i.e. permitting non-standard base-pairing at the 3rd anti-codon position.
Source: Rfam by way of RNAcentral